RNAcentral lists this long non-coding RNA (451 nucleotides) under Homo sapiens (human). Its description in RNAcentral is "HSALNT0085318". Lineage: Eukaryota; Metazoa; Chordata; Mammalia; Primates; Hominidae. The record is from RNAcentral.
UUCAGAAGCUCCAAGGAUGUCAUCGGGACCCAUGCUUUUGAUCUCAGAGCUCUGUUUUCAUGUGUGGUGCCUCAUUUCUUAGACAGUGACGCCGCACCUGCCAGAAAAUUCAGUUUUACAUGUUUUCUCCCAGCCACUGUAAAAGAAAGAAACUGUCCCUUUCUUGCAAGAUCGUGCAAAUGUAUGUCCUAUAAUUGGAACUCAUUGACCAGAAAUGGUUUGGCAUGGGUCUCAUGGCGUCCCUGAAUUUGCAGUGGGUUGGCCAAAUCUGCUUUACCUGAGGAGCUGAUGCUACUGUGACCUACAGCAAAAGAAGUGGGAACAUGUGAAGGAGAGGUAUUUUCCAAGAGAAAGAUUAGGCCUAUUGGAAGCCAGCUUUGGGAAAGGAGGAAGAACACGAUUUACUUCUGCAGUCUUCCUCACUCCACCAAACACCCUUUCUCCUCCCCUA